GGAGGGGUGCGAGCGUUAAUCGGAAUUACCGGGCGUAAAGGGUACGUAGGCGGUUUUAUAAGUCAGAUGUGAAAUCCCCGGGGGCUUAACCUGGGGAACUGCAUUUGAAACUGUAUAACUAGAGUGAGUGAGAGGUUAGUGGAAUUCAAGGCGUAGCGGUGAAAUGCGUAGAGGUCUUGAGGAACAUCAGUGGCGAAGGCGGCUAACUGGCACUACACUGACGCUGAGGUACGAAAGCGUGGGGAGCGAACAGGAUUAGAUACCCUGGUAGUCCACGCCCUAAACGAUGAGGACUGGCUGUUGGCGCUAUAGACGCGUCGGUAGCGAAGCUAACGCGUUAAGUUCUCCGCCUGGGGAGUACGGCCGCAAAGGCUG
This 375-nucleotide ribosomal RNA is filed under the name uncultured organism. RNAcentral describes it as "partial 16S ribosomal RNA". It matches the Rfam family "Bacterial small subunit ribosomal RNA", at positions 526 to 896 of the family's 1533-position model. The record is from RNAcentral.